GGAAUCUUCCACAAUGGACGAAAGUCUGAUGGAGCAACGUCGCGUGAGCGAAGAAAGUUUUCGCAGCGUAAAACUCUGUUGUUGUAGAAGAACGUAUCUGAUAUUAACUGAUCAGUUAGUGUCGGUAUCAAAUCAGAAAGCCACGGCUAACUACGAGCCAGAAGCCGCGGUAAUACGUAGGUGGCAAGCGUUGUCCGGAUUGAGUGGGCGUAAAGCGAGCGCAGGCGGUUUCUUAAGUCUGAUGUGAAAGCCUUCGGCUCAAACGAAGAAGUGCAUAGGAAACUGGGAAACUUGAGUGCAGAAGAGGACAGUGGAACUCCAUGUGUAGCGGUGAAAUGCGUAGAUAUAUGGAAGAACACCAGUGGCGAAGGCGGCUGUCUGGUCUGUAACUGACGCUGAGGCUCGAAAGCAUGGGUAGCAAACA
RNAcentral lists this ribosomal RNA (424 nucleotides) under uncultured bacterium. RNAcentral's name for it is "partial 16S ribosomal RNA". It matches the Rfam family "Bacterial small subunit ribosomal RNA", at positions 358 to 774 of the family's 1533-position model. The record is from RNAcentral.